RNAcentral lists this unclassified non-coding RNA (299 nucleotides) under plant metagenome. RNAcentral's name for it is "partial contains 5.8S ribosomal RNA, internal transcribed spacer 2, and large subunit ribosomal RNA". The stretch from base 1 to 105 matches the Rfam family "5.8S ribosomal RNA", at positions 50 to 154 of the family's 154-position model. The record is from RNAcentral.
GAAAUGCGAUAAGUAAUGUGAAUUGCAGAAUUCAGUGAAUCAUCGAAUCUUUGAACGCACGUUGCGCCCCCUGGUAUUCCGGGGGGCAUGCCUGUUCGAGCGUCAUUUCACCACUCAAGCCUCGCUUGGUAUUGGGCGACGCGGUCCGCCGCGCGCCUCAAAUCGACCGGCUGGGUCUUUCGUCCCCUCAGCGUUGUGGAAACUAUUCGCUAAAGGGUGCCGCGGGAGGCCACGCCGUAAAACAACCCCAUUUCUAAGGUUGACCUCGGAUCAGGUAGGGAUACCCGCUGAACUUAAGC